AACGAACGCUGGCGGCGCGCCUAAUACAUGCAAGUCGAGCGAGAAGGUGUAGCAAUACACUUGUAAAGCGGCGAACGGGUGAGGAAUGCAUGGGUAACCUACCCUCGAGUGGGGAAUAACUAGCCGAAAGGUUAGCUAAUACCGCAUACGUUUCCGGAACUUCGGUUUCGGAAAGAAAGCAAUACCGUGGGUAUUGCGCUCCUGGAUGGGCUCAUGUCCUAUCAGCUUGUUGGUGAGGUAACGGCUCACCAAGGCUUCGACGGGUAGCUGGUCUGAGAGGACGAUCAGCCACACUGGCACUGCGACACGGGCCAGACUCCUACGGGAGCAGCAGUAAGGAAUAUUGCGCAAUGGACGAAAGUCUGACGCAGCGACGCCGCGUGGGGGAUGAAGGUCUUCGGAUUGUAAACCCCUUUCGGGAGGGAAGAUGGAGUGGGUAACCACUUGGACGGUACCUCCAGAAGCAGCCACGGCUAACUUCGUGCCAGCAGCCGCGGUAA
This 500-nucleotide ribosomal RNA is filed under the name uncultured bacterium. RNAcentral's name for it is "bacterial SSU rRNA". It matches the Rfam family "Bacterial small subunit ribosomal RNA", at positions 29 to 523 of the family's 1533-position model. The record is from RNAcentral.